RNAcentral lists this non-coding RNA (158 nucleotides) under bovine gut metagenome. RNAcentral's name for it is "Lysine riboswitch". It matches the Rfam family "Lysine riboswitch aptamer". Rfam says of the family: Riboswitches are metabolite binding domains within certain messenger RNAs that serve as precision sensors for their corresponding targets. Allosteric rearrangement of mRNA structure is mediated by ligand binding, and this results in modulation of gene expression. The record is from RNAcentral.
AGAGAUAGAGGCGCGGGUAGAAUGAGUACUGCGAGUGUUUUUCCGGGAGAGGAAACGCAGGAAAGGUCGACCGCCGAAGGGAUGCCGGUUCUUCCGCCGGAAUCUGCUGGGUCGUAAGGGAACACUUUACGGACUGUCACAUUUGUGGAGGGCUAUCG